RNAcentral lists this non-coding RNA (31 nucleotides) under Mus musculus (house mouse). Lineage: Eukaryota; Metazoa; Chordata; Mammalia; Rodentia; Muridae. The record is from RNAcentral.
UGCCAAACUAAAACAAAGGCCUAAUCCAUCA